Molecule: ribosomal RNA, 161 nt
Filed under: Chorda filum
Lineage: Eukaryota; Phaeophyceae; Laminariales; Chordaceae
Description: 5.8S rRNA
Rfam family: 5.8S ribosomal RNA
About the family: 5.8S ribosomal RNA (5.8S rRNA) is a component of the large subunit of the eukaryotic ribosome. It is transcribed by RNA polymerase I as part of the 45S precursor that also contains 18S and 28S rRNA.
Source: RNAcentral
GUAAAACUUUCAGCGACGGAUGUCUUGGCUCCCACAACGAUGAAGAACGCAGCGAAAUGCGAUACUCUUGCGACUUGCAGAAUCCAGUGAAUCAUCAAAACUUUGAACGCAUCUUGGGCUUCCGGGAUAUUCCUGGGAGCAUGCUUGUUGGAGUGUCUGUU